GCCUUUUGAGCCUUGCGGUGAGCCUUGUGGCACUUGCACUCGCAGGUGUUGCCAUUUAUAGAAAUACUUAUGAGGCCAUGAUCAUGAAUAACGGAUCACUCCUCCAAAAUAUCUCUCCAGAUAUCGAUUCGUUGGAAUCAGGCGAAGUCAGUAUUUUAAUUUUAAAUGAUAAGAAGAAAAAUUCAGACAAAUAUUUGAGUCAGCAAUUAACUCAGGAGUCUUGCGUUUUCUCAGCUGUGAAAGGAGUUGUGGACAGUGCCAUUGAUA
Molecule: unclassified non-coding RNA, 267 nt
Filed under: Hevea brasiliensis (rubber tree)
Lineage: Eukaryota; Viridiplantae; Streptophyta; Magnoliopsida; Malpighiales; Euphorbiaceae
Source: RNAcentral